RNAcentral lists this ribosomal RNA (331 nucleotides) under uncultured bacterium. RNAcentral's name for it is "bacterial SSU rRNA". It matches the Rfam family "Bacterial small subunit ribosomal RNA", at positions 568 to 899 of the family's 1533-position model. The record is from RNAcentral.
CGCGCAGGCGGUCCUUUAAGUCAGAGGUGAAAGCCCAGGGCUCAACCCUGGAACGGCCUUUGAAACUAGAGGACUUGGGUACGGGAGAGGUGAGUGGAAUUCCGAGUGUAGAGGUGAAAUUCGUAGAUAUUCGGAAGAACACCAGUGGCGAAGGCGGCUCACUGGCCCGUUACCGACGCUCAGGCGCGACAGCGUGGGGAGCAAACAGGAUUAGAUACCCUGGUAGUCCACGCCGUAAACGAUGGAUGCUAGCCGUUGGUAAGCAUGCUUAUCAGUGGCGCAGCUAACGCAUUAAGCAUCCCGCCUGGGGAGUACGGCCGCAAGGGUUGAA